This 465-nucleotide ribosomal RNA is filed under the name uncultured bacterium. RNAcentral describes it as "partial 16S ribosomal RNA". It matches the Rfam family "Bacterial small subunit ribosomal RNA", at positions 28 to 507 of the family's 1533-position model. The record is from RNAcentral.
GACGAACGCUGGCGGCGUGCUUAACACAUGCAAGUCGAACGGAAAGGCCCCCUUGUGGGGUACUCGAGUGGCGAACGGGUGAGUAACACGUGAGUAACCUACCCUUGACUUUGGGAUAACUUCAGGGAACUGGGGCUAAUACCGGAUAGGAGCUCCUGCUGCAUGGUGGGGGUUGGAAAGUUUCGGCGGUUGGGGAUGGACUCGCGGCUUAUCAGCUUGUUGGUGGGGUAGUGGCUCACCAAGGCUUUGACGGGUAGCCGGCCUGAGAGGGUGACCGGCCACAUUGGGACUGAGAUACGGCCCAGACUCCUACGGGAGGCAGCAGUGGGGAAUAUUGCACAAUGGGCGGAAGCCUGAUGCAGCAACGCCGCGUGCGGGAUGACGGCCUUCGGGUUGUAAACCGCUUUCGCCUGUGACGAAGCGUGAGUGACGGUAAUGGGUAAAGAAGCACCGGCUAACUACGUG